UGAUACUAGGGUCAAAAGACCCGCAAAAACAUGAGGAUGCAGCGAUUUUCAAAGAAAAUCAGCGAAUCCGAAUGUUUUUAGAAUUGCGAAAGUUGCAUAGCAACGGAGCAAUUCGUUGGUAUCA
Non-coding RNA from Clostridiales bacterium 41_21_two_genomes, 124 nucleotides. The record is from Rfam. Lineage: Bacteria; Bacillati; Bacillota; Clostridia; Eubacteriales.